Molecule: transfer RNA, 69 nt
Filed under: Cordylochernes scorpioides
Lineage: Eukaryota; Metazoa; Arthropoda; Arachnida; Pseudoscorpiones; Chernetidae
Description: tRNA-Gly
Source: RNAcentral
UGCAUUGGCUGGGAAUCGAACCCGAGGCGCCCGCGUGGCAGGCGAGCAUUCUACCACUGAACCAAAAGC